Molecule: ribosomal RNA, 338 nt
Filed under: uncultured bacterium
Lineage: Bacteria
Description: bacterial SSU rRNA
Rfam family: Bacterial small subunit ribosomal RNA
Source: RNAcentral
AAGUGGUAGCAAUACCAUGAGUAAAGUGGCGCACGGGUGAGUAACACGUGACUAACCUACCCUGGAGUGGGGAAUAACUGAGGGAAACCUUAGCUAAUGCCGCAUAACACCUACGGGUCAAAGGAGCAAUUCGCUUCAGGAGGGGGUCGCGGCCGAUUAGUUAGUUGGCGGGGUAAUGGCCCACCAAGACGAUGAUCGGUAUCCGGCCUGAGAGGGCGCACGGACACACUGGAACUGAAACACGGUCCAGACUCCUACGGGAGGCAGCAGUGGGGAAUUUUGCGCAAUGGGGGAAACCCUGACGCAGCAACGCCGCGUGGAGGAUGAAGUACUUCGGU